AUGCGACUCUUCGGAGGCGUUACACAGGUGCUGCAUGGCCGUCGUCAGCUCGUGUCGUGAGAUGUUUGGUUAAGUCCAGCAACGAGCGCAACCCCCGUUGCCAGUUACCAGCACGUGAAGGUGGGGACUCUGGCGAGACUGCCCAGAUCAACUGGGAGGAAGGUGGGGACGACGUCAGGUCAGUAUGGCCCUUAUGCCCAGGGCUGCACACGUACUACAAUGCCCAGUACAGAGGGGGCCGAAGCCGCGAGGCGGAGGAAAUCCUAAAAACUGGGCCCAGUUCGGACUGUAGGCUGCAACCCGCCUACACGAAGCCGGAAUCGCUAGUAAUGGCGCAUCAGCUACGGCGCCGUGAAUACGUUCCCGGGUCUUGUACACACCGCCCGUCACAUCAUGGAAGCCGGUCGCACCCGAAGUAUCUGAAGCCAACCGCAAGGAGGCAGGGUCCUAAGGUGAGACUGGUAACUGGGAUGAAGUCGUAACAAGGUAGCCGUAGGGGAACCUGCGGC
RNAcentral lists this ribosomal RNA (509 nucleotides) under uncultured bacterium. Its description in RNAcentral is "bacterial SSU rRNA". It matches the Rfam family "Bacterial small subunit ribosomal RNA", at positions 1009 to 1518 of the family's 1533-position model. The record is from RNAcentral.